CCUACGGGCGGCAGCAGUGGGGAAUAUUGGACAAUGGGCGAAAGCCUGAUCCAGCCAUGCCGCGUGUGUGAAGAAGGCCUUCGGGUUGUAAAGCACUUUCAGUGAGGAAGAAAGCCUUGGGGCUAAUACCCUCGAGGAAGGACAUCACCCACAGAAGAAGCACCGGCUAACUCCGUGCCAGCAGCCGCGGUAAUACGGAGGGUGCGAGCGUUAAUCGGAAUUACUGGGCGUAAAGCGCGCGUAGGCGGUCUGAUAAGCCGGUUGUGAAAGCCCCGGGCUCAACCUGGGAACGGCAUCCGGAACUGUCAGGCUAGAGUGCAGGAGAGGAAGGUAGAAUUCCCGGUGUAGCGGUGAAAUGCGUAGAGAUCGGGAGGAAUACCAGUGGCGAAGGCGGCCUUCUGGACUGACACUGACGCUGAGGUGCGAAAGCGUGGGUAGCAAACAGGAUUAGAUACCCUUGUAGUC
Molecule: ribosomal RNA, 465 nt
Filed under: Vreelandella stevensii
Lineage: Bacteria; Pseudomonadati; Pseudomonadota; Gammaproteobacteria; Oceanospirillales; Halomonadaceae
Description: partial 16S ribosomal RNA
Rfam family: Bacterial small subunit ribosomal RNA
Source: RNAcentral